Long non-coding RNA from Xiphophorus couchianus (Monterrey platyfish), 693 nucleotides. RefSeq lists it as uncharacterized. Lineage: Eukaryota; Metazoa; Chordata; Actinopteri; Cyprinodontiformes; Poeciliidae. The record is from RefSeq and is a predicted model, not a curated record. The transcript is spliced from 4 exons.
UUCUCUUUACUGUUGACUUAGAGACAGAUACACCUACUUCCCUGACAGUGUUCUGGACUUCAGUUGAUGUUGUGAACGGGUUCUUCUUCACCAAAGAAAGUAUGCGGCGAUCAUCCACCACCGUUGUCUUCCGUGGACGCCCAGGCCUUUUUGAGUUCCCAAGCUCACCAGUGAAUUCCUUUUUUCUCAGAAUGUACCCGACUGUUGAUUUUGCUACUCCAAGCAUGUCUGCUAUCUCUCUGAUGGAUUUUUUCUUUCUUUUCAGCCUCAGGAUGUUCUGCUUCACCUCAAUUGAGAGUUCCUUUGACCGCAUGUUGUCUGGUCACAGCAACAGCUUCCAAAUGCAAAACCACACACCUCGAAUCAACCCCAGACCUUUUAACUACUUAAUUGAUUACAGGUUAACGAGGGAGACGCCUUCUGAGUUAAUUGCAGCCCUUAGAGUCCAUUGUCCAAUUACUUUUGGUCCCUUGAAAAAGAGGAGGCUAUGCAUUACAGAGCUAUGAUUCCUAAACCCUUUCUCCGAUUUGGAUGUGGAAACUCUCAUAUUGCAGCUGGGAGUGUGCACUUUCAGCCCAUAUUAUAUAUAUAAUUGUAUUUCUGAACAUGUUUUUGUAAACAGCUAAAAUAACAAAACUUGUGUCACUGUCCAAAUAUUUCUGGCCCUAACUGUACCUCACUAAAGCAAAACUA